AAAAAAACAGAGAGAAGCUCUCUCUCCCUCAUUCUCUCCGGCCAAGGGGCCGGUCUAGGGCUCCGGCGAACCUCCGCCGAGGCGCCACCGACUGUGGCGGUCGGAGGUUCAAAAUGGAACCUUUCCGGUUCCUUUUUGAAGCCGAAGGCCUCUUAAACACGGAUCCAACGCCGAAUCUUGUGAAAGGUGAGCCCAACCCCGCCAAACGAGGAGUAACCGUCUGUCUCCUCCUCCUCCGGCGCGGCACAGGUAAGGUUUUCUUCUUCUUUUAUUUUUUCGUUUCCCUUUAUUUUUAUUUAUGUAUGUAAAAUAAAAAAGAAGAAGAUGAAAAACGAAAUAAAAAAACGAAAAGAAAGAAAGAAAAAUAAAAGGAUUCACCUUAAAUAUUUUUUUUUGUUUCUAUAUUUCUCUGCUAAUAUGCGUUACAAAGGUCGAAAAAAAAGAAGAAGAAAAAAAAAGCCCCUGAAAUUGAGUUACAAUCGGCUUUUAUAGCCCAUUUUUUGUUACUGUUUUUGAUAUAUUUUUUCUUGCUUCUUUCUCCUUUGCAGAUGCCAGUGGUGAUGGGAGUAGGUGGUGGUAGGUGCGGCGCGGAGUGGCGAUGGCAGAGACCAAAGGUCAAAGAGGGCGACGCCUAGGGUUUCAGUGCAGAUAUUUUUUUGGGAAGGAUGGGCUAGGGUAUUGGGCUGGUUUUGUAAUUGGGCUUGUGGGUUAUUGGGUAGGUUAGUUGGGCUUGGUUUU
This 738-nucleotide long non-coding RNA is filed under the name Gossypium raimondii (Peruvian cotton). RNAcentral's name for it is "long non-coding RNA (GRAI_LNC000810)". Lineage: Eukaryota; Viridiplantae; Streptophyta; Magnoliopsida; Malvales; Malvaceae. The record is from RNAcentral.